UAUUUGUAUACAUAACUCAAAGAGUGAUCAGAGACGAAAGGUAAGCUUCUUUAGUAUUUAAAGAAAUUAUUAAUUCAAUUCUAGUGUUGUGCUAGCUGUGUUUUUUGGAUUAUAAGCUGCAAGCAUAUGCAUAUGUAAAGAUGAGUCAUAUCACGAUGAGGUACUACAACAGAAUUAAUAGUCAUGGAAGGAGAUCAUCAUCAUCCUGCUGCAAAGGAAAAGGGUUUCGGAUCAACGUCUCAAAGACAAAGAGAUUUUCAGUACAAGGGUUACGUGCAAGGUUUGUGUAUUUGUUCAGGCUAUUAAGCAGGUGGAGAUUUUCAUAUGGCCGAGCUUUGAAAUCGCUAAUACUAAGUAAGAAGGAGAAGGGCAUCUUCGUCAACAUCAAGAGAAAUAACAGCAGCAGCAAGAGAAAUUUAGUGCCGAAUGUUAAUAGUAUGACCUCCCAGGGUCAUGAAUAUCAUCAACCAUCUGUAGGCUGUAGAUCAAUGAGAUCCUUUGGCCGCUCUAAUUCUUUCUAUGCGGAAGCCAUUGCUGAUUGCUUGGAGUUCAUCAAACGAUCCUCUACUCUUUCCGUCGACCAAAAACCUGCUGCGGCGUAAUAUGCUUGCCCACUAAUGUAAAUAUCUAUAAUAUAUUAUAGAGCUAGCUAGGUUCGUCCUAAAAAUUAAUUAGCUUGCAGAGUCAGUCAUAAUUAAUGUUCCCUUUUUUUUUUUGUUUUAAUUACAUUUAUUCAAUUUGUCUGCUUCACUUGAUUGAGGACACAUUUGCUUUUAGAUUUAGAGAGUACUGCUUGUUGUCUUUCUGUACAAAUGCAGCAUAUAUUAAUAUGCGCGGCCUUCUUGAGUUUAAUUCGGAAUGCCAUUUCCCCUUGUAUUAUUGCUUUAGAAACGAAUAAUGUGCAUCGUCAACAUAAUUUAAUUUUUCUUGGGUAGUAAAUAAAAAAUAAAAUAAAAGAGAGAAAAACAAACCUACGGCGGUGAUGAAGCAGCUGCAGGGUGGCAAUCUCGGGAAGGUUCAGAGUAGGUGGAAUUGAAGAUUCUAAUUUCUAAAGUAAGGAAUUUUCGACCUAACACAUUGUCAUUAUUUGACUAAUCAAACAAUCAGAAGAAAAAUUAUUUGAAAAUCGAAAGUUAAAAAGUAAAGCUUGUAACUUUAGAAGCAAGUGCCAUGAUAAUAUCUCUUGACUUCAAUCCAACAUGCCAAGUUACGCCUCAAUGCCUGAUGUUUGCCUCUUUCUUUUUCCUUUUGUAUUAUUUAAUUAAGGGAGGUUAGGUUAGGUUGGAAUAAUGGAAUUAACGGUCGCCCACUUUGCUGCGAAUCGCUAUCCGGGGUUCACACUGCUAAAGUGCUAAUGGUAAUCGACUUUUUCCGUCUGGGCCAAACUGACCCAAUAACUUGCUGCAUUACGGCUAUGUGGCCCAAAAUCGAACGGGGUUUUGCCGACUUUGUGAUUGUGGGCGUCAACAAGAUUUUGUAGGCUGGAAGCAACAAACCAAUAAGCGGCUACCUUCGAUGUCUGGUACAAAAAUAGAAGCGAAAUGGUACUUUUGACAUAAAAUUUAGGUGUGGGCCAAAUUCAAUUGGGCUCGGACUAUUUUUAUUUUGAGUUUGAUUCGGUUCGACUUAUUCAAUGUAAUUUAUUUAGUUUUUCUUAUAUUUUAGCUCCUCAGUCACAUUCAACCAAGAAAUGAAAUGUAUAAAAAGUAAGGCAAGUAAAGUAUUGGAAUUGGAACAAAGCAUGCCCACAAAGGAAGCAAAGCAAAUUAAAAAAAAAGGAGUAAAAAAUAAAAUAAUAAUAAUAAUAAUAUACUUUAUCCUUACUUGUGUACUUUGCAUUCUAUUUACACAUUUAAAUUGAACAAUGAAUAAGUGGGCAAAUGAAUCUUGGUUGCACAGAAACAUUUUUUUCUUAGCAAAAAUAGCAUGAUAUAGAUUAUAAUAGAAGUCCUAAUAAGCUGAAAUCAUGGAUUUUAAUUAUAAUCUAUUUAUUUUUACGUCAAUCAAGAUUUAGCAUAACUCAUUUUUUCAUCUCCUCAUACAGAGGCAUAGCCGCCGAGCAAACAUCGAAGGGAAGGGAAUGUUUGAAGUAAUCUAACCGGUGGAGAAAAGGAUGGCAUAUCAAAAGAUAUGGGAAACAUUAUAAUUUUAGGCGUUAAGCAUGUUAUACACAUGAUGAUUGAUUGUGAUUGAUGUUGUGGCGGCAAAUCUUUGCUUUGAUUUGAUUAAAGCAUCUAGAAAUUUAGAAAAGCAGACACUUUUCUCCCACCGCCUGAAGUUGGGAGCGCGUUUUGGCGCCCAGAGUCAAAGCGAAAACCAAAAAUAAAACGUGUGCUGGUGGUGUGGUGUGGCCCGUGUGGGGAAAAGGAAUAAAUAAAUUUCUUGAUUUUAUAAAUACCAUGAGUUAUAGAAGCCCUAAUGGUAAUACUACUCUUAAGCUGAGAUCACUGCUGACCAAAGCACGAACCUUUUUUGGAAUUGUAACUACUUCCUCCGCCGCGGCGGCCGCUUCUUUUUCCGCAACCACCGCUCCCAAGAUCAGCAACGCCAUGGACGAAAUACAAACCCUCAAGACCAAAGUCUGCAUCAUCGGCAGCGGCCCCGCCGCCCACACUGCCGCCAUCUAUGCCGCCCGAGCCGAGCUCAAACCCAUUCUCUUCGAGGGCUGGAUGGCCAAUGAUAUUGCGCCUGGUGGCCAACUCACCACCACCUCCGACGUCGAGAAUUUCCCCGGUUUUCCCCAGGGCAUUCUCGGGGGCGACUUGAUGGAUCGCUGCCGCAACCAGUCUCUCCGUUUCGGCACCCAGAUUUUUACCGAGACCGUUUCCAAAGUCGACUUCAAAUCCCGCCCUUUUAAAGUUUUUACAGAUUCCAAAUCCGUUCUUGCUGAUACUGUUAUUGUCGCCACCGGCGCCGUUGCCAAAAAGUUGCAAUUCCCCGGUUCAGAUGCGUUCUGGAACCGUGGCAUAUCGGCCUGCGCAGUGUGUGAUGGAGCCGCUCCGAUAUUUCGGGACAAACCCUUGGCCGUGAUUGGUGGCGGGGAUUCAGCCAUGGAAGAAGCCAACUUUUUGACAAAGUACGGAUCAAAAGUUUAUAUAAUUCAUAGGAGGGAUAGUUUUAGAGCUUCGAAGAUUAUGCAAAACAGGGCACUUACGAACCCUAAGAUUGAUGUGAUUUGGAAUUCGGUUGUUAUAGAGGCUUAUGGAGAAGGGGAUAAGAAGGUUCUGGGAGGAUUGAAGGUGAAGAAUUUGGUGACUGGACAGGUUUCUGAUUUGAAGGUGUCUGGCUUGUUCUUUGCCAUUGGACACGAGCCUGCUACUAAGUUUGUGGAUGGUCAGUUGGACCUGCAUUCUGAUGGUUAUAUUAUUACCAAACCUGGGACUACACACACUAGUGUCCCUGGAGUUUUUGCUGCUGGAGAUGUUCAGGAUAAGAAGUACAGGCAGGCUGUUACCGCCGCCGGCACUGGUUAGUUCUCUCUUACACUCACGCCCUCAUGAAUUUUGAUAUCUAUUUCUAAACACUUCAUUAUUUAUUGAGCUAAACUAUGUGCACUAGAGUCUUUUGGGCUUUGGAACUUGCAAAAUUCUCCCAAGUUUGACUAUCACCUAAUUGUAUAAUUUUUGAGAUACUACUCUUUUUGGCAUAUAAGCUGAGAAAUUCUCCUAAGUUUGACUACCACCUUAUUGUAUAACGGGAUUGCCAUACACAAUACUAAUCCAAUGAAAUUUGUAUUUUGGCUCCAUCUUUUGGUACUCAUUUAUUUGUUAUACUUUAUCAUUUCACUUGUCCUGGUUGAGCUUAAACUCAAGCAAACCUCCAUCUGGCUAGAUUAGGUUUAAAAUUUGUGCAAGUCCAGGUCCAGGUAUCAGUUUUGUUCGACAACUUUUGAUUAUGCAAUCAAAUGGGUUGUUUUGCUUAGCCUAGGCUCUGCUCGCUUCAUUAGUCUGGCUGAGGUGAGAUGGGCUUUAGCUUGAUUGAUGAUCUUUAACCUUAGAGAUUCCAUGUAUAGCAUGAGCCUUGAAGGCAACCUCUAUUCAUUAAUUGAGGUCAUACUUUUUGCGUGGCCUAUAGAGAGGUUGGUGAUACUUUUUGCUAAUGGAUAAAUAAUUUGACAGAACUUGACGAUCUUCAGUCAUGUAUAAAAGUUGACAUCAUCUGCACUUCACGAAUAAUCAUAGUAUGAUUACUUUGGUGGCGGUAUACUAUGGGACUCAGAACUUAUGUAGGAUUUUUAGAUGGUAGAAUACAUGGGUGGUUACCUAAAAUAAAACAAGUGGAACUGAAACUUGUUUUCUCUUCAUUUCUAUUCAGUUGAUGGCGCAUAUAAGUCAUUGUUGUUGAUGACUCACUGUGUAGCACAUCAUAUCUACCGUCAUUGUAUUGUAUGCCAUCUAAGAUUGUGCUCUGAGUUAACAUACUAAAUGCAAACUUAUCGUGGUCAGUAUGGAAAAUCAUCUUUACAAUUGAGUACCUUGUGUUGGUUAAGCUUUCUGAAGACUUUGAAAUCUUUUGUUUUUGCAGGGUGCAUGGCAGCCUUGGAAGCUGAGCAUUACUUGCAAGAGAUAGGAUCUCACGAGGAUAAGAGUGAAUCUUCACUGUAGGAUAAUGGCAGGGCUGGGAUAUGAUGAAAGCAGAAUAGUCUACAUGCAAACUUGAUCUAAAUCUACCUCUGAAUGAAGAAGGCCUUUUCUCGACCAAUUCAAGUGAUGAAUCAGUACUGUCUUGGUGACUUAUUUAUUGGCUUCCAAUAGUUGGUUGGAAAAACUAAUUGGAUAAGGAAUUUGUUUUAAGUUGGUAUUAGUGCUGCAUUUUAGAAUGUAAUUGUUGGUUGGAAUUUUUUAAGAAUAUAUUAUUCUUUACCUUAUUGUCAUCAUAAAUCUAUUGAUAUUUAACAAUUAGAAAUUUCCUAGAUGAAGCCUGGUAUGACAUUGUUAAGAUUUCAACCAUUAAUAAUAUUGGAGGGCCAUCUACUACUGGCAGACUCGCCCAAAUCUUCUCAUAAAAACUUACUCGUAUGAGAUGAUUUGCUACUUCAAACUAAAACUUGCUGUAGCUUGUGGGUAGAUUUGAUAUUGAGAAAAUUCCGCUGGAUAUCCAUGUCGGUAUCUAUCAACUUGCAUUCUUUUUAUUUUAAUUAUUUAUGAUUUUAAUUUUAAUCAUAAAAGUUAGAAAAUUUUAAUGAUAAAUAUAUAUAGGUUAAAGUCUUAAUUCUUAAAGAUAGUUUGUAAAGGAAAACACAAAGUUUACAUGGUUUGGCCUUUGGCCUACAUUUACGGGAGCAAUUAAUCAUCAAUCUACUAUAUAAAUAAGAGAUUACAUAAGAUUUCACGUUAUACAAGAUGAAUAACAUAAGUUAGAUAGAUAGAUAGAGAUAAAGAUGAAGAUAGUGAAUAAAGAUAUGGAGAGUGAUAAUAUGGUGAAGAGGAUGGAUGAUAAAUGUGGAAAAUAUAAAUGGUCUUCUAAAAAUGAAGAAGUGGGCGAUGAUCUAAAAGAUGAAGAAAAAGAGAGUGUGAGAGAGAGACAAGAGGAGAGGAGAGGAGGAGAGGAGAUGAUGCCAUGUCCUAAUGUGAAAAAAUAUUUAUAAAUUCUAGUAAUAAGAAGAAUGCAUAAAAGUUAUGGCUGAAUGUCAUCUCUAAUAAGGGGAUAUUUUUAGAGGUAUGUGUCAUAUUUAAGGAAAAAAUGAUAAGGAUAUUCAUUUUGUACUAGGUUAUCUUUUCUCAUAAAUAUCUUAAAGUAUCCAACCAUGACCAUUAAUUUCCAGCCUAAACAAUGUAGUGAAUUAUUCCAAAUGAUAUUUUUAUGUAUUUUAUCAAUUUCAUCCUUAUUAUUGUCCAUGUGUCAUUCAUUUGUUAGUCUAAAGUAUAAUUCCAAAUAUGUAUAUAAUAAGCCUUUAAUUAGUAGACAUUUUAUAAUUUUCAAGUUUAAUAUUACUAAUAUUUUGUUUUAACUUUAUUAUUAUUAUUAUUAUUUUACUUUACUUUAAUGACUUGAAAUUAAUUAUUACUUACUAAAGUUGGAUUUUUAUUUGUUUAAUUUAUUGUACACGAUAGUUGUAUAAAAUUUUUACUUACUAAUAUUAUUGAUAAUACUUAUAUAAUAAUACUUAUAUAUUGAUUAAAAGAUGAAGUAACACAUUGAUAUUAGUGACGAUAACUUGCCUACUACAGAAAUAUUUUGUAUUAAAUUAAUAUAUCUUGUGAAUUGUUUUAAUGUUGAAUUUUAAUUUCUUAUCUACAUUGAUAAAUUUAGAAUUGAGUAUUAUAUGUGGAUUUUUAGGCUGUUAUUAUAAAUUUAUAGUUUGAAUUAUAUAAUUUAAGUUUUUAUAUAUUAUUAAAGUCAUUGUUUUAAUAUUUACAAUUUUAAAUGAUAAAACCUAAAAAAAAAAAAUCCGCUGUCGAUUGUAGGUAGAUUUAGUAAUUGCUAAACUCGCAACAGGCAAAUUGUUUUUUAAAUAAAAAAAUAAAACCCGUUGCAGAUUAUAAAUAGGUUUGAUGAUUUAAUUUUUUUGUGGAUACAGAGUUUGGUAACAGUAAAUUCGUAGUGAGUAGUACCCAUGGGCAUCCCUACCUGGAUUGCAUGGCUAAGUUCAAUGAUGAAACUGACGACAAUGGGGGGGGGGGGGGGGGGAGGGGGAGUGGUCUCGUUUACACAUCCUCACACGAAAAUAUGAAUAUAUAAUCAUUCCGACGAUGACCAUCACGAGCCAGGUGUCUAUAUAUAUAUAUAUAUAUAAUGUUCUCGAAUCAGUUUUUAAUUUGUAUGAUCCUAUUAGUUGUGUGAUGAUUACGUUUAAAAAUUGAACAAACUUAGUUUGUAUUCCGCCGCAUUUUUUUGGGAUUUAGGUCAAGAAUUAGUUUUCCCAUUCAAAUGUUAUGCAAAUACUGUAUUGGUUGGGAGUUUGGGGCGUCUCCUCCUGGUCCAAGUAAGCAUCAACACAUGGGACGGGCCAAGCCCAUUUCAUAUAACCAGCGCAUUAGCAUUAUGGAUCUUGCUAAAGUCUAUGGUGGAGUUCAAGGGAAACAUAUUUUGAGCUUAACCAGCAAAUAAUGAAAGGUAGUGGCUCAAAAUUAUCAUAAGUCGACUUCCACUUUUGAAUUCAGCAUUAGCUUGCUAGCCAUACGAAAAAGAAGAAAGUUGCCAUAUCUCAAUCAAAUGAAUAAUGAUGUAAUAAAAAUGGUUGGACCAAAAUUGAAUACAAACCAGCCCAGUGUACCAGUUGCUAUGUUUGAGAUAUAGGCCCAAUCGGCAGUGAUUGAGUUGAUGUUGGGCCCAAUUUGAAUACGAGAAGAGAUUAGAAAUGACAGAAGAAGUAGGUGUGUGUGUUGUAUGGAUGCGGAAAAGGAGAGGAAGAAAAAGCCUAAGUGAGAAUGAUGUUUGUUGAGUGUUGGCAAAGGAAAUGUCUGACAGCCCACACACUCGUUUAGUCCUUCUUUCCGAAUUGAAUGUCUCUUUCGCGAUAAAGUACAGGAGGCAGGCAGGAAGCUUAGCUAUUAGCUUAUUUAUUUUGGACACCUUCAACUAUCCUUUAUCUUUUACUAUUAAAUUUUUUUUCCCCUUUUUUAUUACAUCGCGAUUCAUUUUGAUUGAUUGUAACUAUUCACACACACACAACACAAUCACAGCGUAUGUCCAUUUCUCCUGCAACCCGACUGCAGAAUUUGUCCCUUAUGAUUGAGAGAUUAUUAUCAAUAAUAACUAAAUACAAGAAGCAAAUUAACUUCUUCUUCUUUUUUCCUUAAUAAUAAAAAAUAGAUAAAAGCAGAGAAUCUUUUUGAUGGGAGGGGAGGGUAAUUCCGAAACUUGUAGUUUUUUCUUCCUUUCUUUUAACUUUGAAGUUAAAAUUUAUAAUUAAUUAAUUUUGUUAACUACUAUUAUCACCAACAGUUAAGUUAAACUAAUAUGCUGUUGAGUUUCAAAAUUCCAAGUGAGAUGAAAGCGCUUCUUCUUGUAUUGUAUUGUAUUAUUAUAUUGUAUGUGUGUAUAAAUAAAGGCUAACAAGAAGAAGAAGCAAUUAUAAGUUAAAAAGUUAAAAAGGAAGGAAGCUGAAAGCAAUCGCUUUUAAGUUUUAACUGUUUUGGUGGGCUUGAUCUUGAUGGCUGGUGCGUAUGGAGCAGAAGCAGACAGCGCAAACCGGAAGUUAUUCGUUGGAGGGUUGGCGUGGGAGACCAACAGCGACACUCUCCGCACUUACUUUGAGCAGUUUGGGGACAUUCUUGAAGCCGUCGUUAUCACUCACAAGAACACCGGCCGUUCCAAAGGCUACGGUUUUGUAUGCACCUUCUUUCUUAUUUGUGAUUUGUCACACUUUUAUGCAAAGCUAGCUGCGAUUACUUUGAUGGCAUGAUGCUAACACUAUUAGUUUGUUUUUUUUUUUUGUUUUUUUUUAUUUGCUGUGAUUCUUUCUUUUUCCAAUUUUAGGUGACAUUUCGUGAUCCGGGGUCAGCUCUGAGAGCUUGUGCCAACCCAAGUCCUAUGAUUGGUGGGCGUAAAGCUAAUUGUAAUCUUGCUCAUUUAGGCCGAACUCGACCAGAUCUGCCCUCUUUUGGUAUCUUUCUUCCAUUUCUUGAGAUUUUUUUCCCCUUUUCAAUUUUUUUUCAUUAAUCUGUACGAGAACCCUAAUGCUCACUUGUAAUUGCUCUUCUGUGGUCCAUGAUGUAUGGUUACUUCAUCACAACUCAGUGUUUAAUAUAGAAUAUUGCAAGUGUUUUAGAAAUGGAUAGGAAUCUGUGUAAAGCUGGCUCAGAGUGGCUGCAUCCAAAUCCUAUAAGGAUACAGGUUUUAUUCAUUAUUAUUAUUAUUAUUUUCACUUCUGGGUGUUCUUUAAAAUGUCCUAUACUGUGUACAUUACAAUUACAAAGUGGCUGCAAUGGUUAGGGGAGUGAACCCUAUAUUGUAUACAUAUUGCUGUUGUGGGGGGCACAAAUUAGUCUUAGAGAUCAAGAAUGACUCUUGUGUUGUGCCUCCGUCAACCUCUAUGUUCUGUGUUCCUUGUUUCUAAAAUUUCAAUGUCUCUUUUGUAGGGCAUCCAAGGCCAUCAUCUGCAGCCCCUCUCUUUGGAAGUCCUGGUCACCACCAACCGGUUUCUUACAAUUAUCAAUCUGCGUUUAUGCAUCCGCAUCCUUAUUGGUGAGUUGGAUGUUCUAGUCAAACAUUUUUCUAUGGCCUUUUAAGCCCACUGGGUCUGUUGAGAUAAAAUUGUUAUUCUGCUUUGAAGUACAAAAGGAGCCAACUGAUAUAAUUUAAUACUCUAUUGAUGUUUCCAGGUGCUAACUGCUUCAAAACUUUUGUCCUUAUAGUACAAUAACUUUUGUCCUUUUGCUCUCUGGACGUUCAUUCAAUUUCUUUUAUGCAGGUAUACAGCAUAUGCACCUGGAUAUUUCAACCCGCAGGUCAAUAUCCAUAAUAUAGUUCUAUUGAUGUGCAUGGUUACUAGGACUACAAAAUUAUGCCAACUAGCCUGCUAAUCUGCUUUGAUUAAUUGUUCUUUUACAGGGUCUCUACAAUCCUUAUGUGGGUCAGCAUUACCUUCCACUUUAUGGGGCCCCAGGAACAGUUAACUCUGGUAUGUACUCACACGGACAACUGGGUCAUCACUUUCCUGGCGGUCAUGACAACACAGUGGUUCGUGGCUAUGGGAUGCUGGGUCAUCAUAUUGUGCCGUAUGGUGGGCCUAAUGACAAUGGAUUGACCUCAGCUGCAUUUCCCAUGAUUCAACCGCCACAUACUGCAGGUAAUAAUCUCUUCCUAAGAAGCCUUUCAUGCUCGUCUAUGAAGUUGGGGCGUACUGGACUCUAAAUGUCAAUUUGUGAUGCUAUUGUAGAUCAAAUUGGCAAUACUGUGAUGCAUACAUGAUACUGUAAAAGCAUAGCAAUACAACUUCACAUAAGACAAUGUGUUGGUAAAGCAAUAUUGUUCUUCUGAAAAAAUCUUCUAGCAAAUUAUACAAAUAGCUAUUAUGCUGAGAUCUUAUUACGUACACAUUGUAUCCAAUAUUCCAAUGGCUAUUUGCUUUAGACUUUGUUGUUUGUAUUUGUAUGAGUGAAAUCCAGGCUAUGGAAUAUGAGGCCUAACCAUGUAAUUUCUUAUGUAAAAAUAGGUGUUAAGAUCAUUUCCUUGCUUUUUACAGGAGUAUCUGACAACUUUAGGACAGGCUCAGAUAACAACUCACCUGCUUUCUCCUCCAAUCGCUAGCAGUACUGAACUGGCCACAAGGAAGGUCUAAUGGUAGACUAGAACAUUCACAUCUUGAGGUGGAAACUGCCAUUUUACCUACCUCGUCUAUGUGAUUUCUCUGUACAUCUUAUAUUCAGUAUUUAGGUAACCCAUGAACUGCAGCUGGACAAAGAGCAACGCACUGUUACAUGAGUUUAGGCUUCAACUAUAUCCUCACAAUUUAUUGGCUUUGCUUUCUGAUUCUGGAGGUAGGUUUCUAUAAUGUCCUGUUUUGUAUUUAUGUCUCCAUGAAAUAAAGGCUCUGCAUGUUUAAAUGCUAUGUGUGAUUGAUGAUAUAUUUAGUUAGAAUGGAAAAAGUCAAUUAGCCAUGGACGCUUCAUCUGUAACUGAGACUUUACCGAGGGAAAAAAAAGAGUUUAAAUUUUAGAUAUUUGUUUGUGUGUGUUUGUUAGAGUUUUUAUUUACUACUUACUGGAAAGGCAUUCACAAGAAAUUGUGAACAUAAGAGAUAGUUAUUUGCAUCAGCAUGCUGUCUUAUUCCCAAUUGUUGGUUACACCACGCCUCCAAUCAUAGAGCUAUGAAUGAACUUUCUUUGUUUUUAAAACAUUGCAGGUCAUCAUCUUUAGUCUUGGUUAACAAUGAAGAAACAGUUGUACAUACAUUGUUGUCAAAGUCACUGGAGCGGUUGGGAGGAGCUCAUUCGAGGAUGUUUUGCUGCAGCCAUGAAUGUCAGUCAUGUGGAUUUACUUGUAAAUAAUAAUGUCUUAAAGCCUUUGAUCUUUGAUGUGAUGUGAUUGAUGCCAUGUAAAUAACUUGUCAUUAAUCAACCAUUCAUUAAUAUUCUUGGAUAAUUUUUAUCUGAUAAUCACAUCACAGGUAUCGUGCGAAACAAUAUAUAUAUAUAUAUUUGAAUUUUUGAGUAAAGGCUUAAAAGAGUGUGGCGGAGGGAAAGCAACUGAUAUACACUCGAUGUUCUUUGAUUCACAAACAGAACGGUAGUGAUCAGAAUUUGCAUGAACUUGAAUAAAAAGUUGCAGCAGAAAUGAAUUUGUGACGUUGCUUUCUUUCUUUCUACUGACUGAUGGUAAAUUUAAAAUUUAAAGGAUAAGAAAGACGUAACAUACGAAAAGGCACAUACGUACCGAUCCAUUAACCACAGCCAUACAGCUUUGUACUUUGUACCCAGUUAGUAGAGGAAGAGGGGCAUAGAGUCUGAUAUGGGUCGAGUCCAUAAAGAAAGAGAAAGCCUGGCCCAACCGGGAUUGUAUUAUCGACUCGGAUUGAAGCUUUGAAACAAAGUCAGAACUGAGAAGAAGAAGAAAUGGAAGAGUACCCAGAAGAAUGGCGGACACCGCCGGUGUGUUUAAUAUCAGUGGUGGGAUUGGCAGAGCAUGAGCAUCACCGCUUGAUCUCAACACACUUGCUCUCUGAGCAGCCACCUACCAAUACUUUAGCCUUGCCCGACUUGUCUAAACUCCUCCACCUUUUAUCCAAAAAACCAAAGCAACCACCCGAUGCCACGUCAUCUUCUUCACCCGCUGCCGGGAUACUCAAGCGCGAUUGGCUAAUGAAACAUCGCACCAGAGUCCCUUCCGUUGUGGCCGCUCUUUUUAGUUUCGAUCAGGUCUACGGAGAUCCUGCUCAGUGGCUUCAGGUCUGCUCCGAUCUCGAUCUUCUUAAGGCCGCUAUUAAGCCCAGGAAUAUCAAAUUGGUUGUCGUCGUUGUUAACGAUACACUUAGCGAUCAUAAUGACGUUUAUGAAGAGCGCUUUAUUGCUCUUCGUAAGCGCGCCGAACUUGAUUCCAAAUACAUUCUUACUUUUAAUCCCAACACCGCUUCCGAUCUUCAAAUUUCUCUUAACAGGUUACAUUUUUCUAUUUUCUUUUCUUUUCUUUUCUUUUUUGUUCGGUUGAUUGAUUGAUUUCUUUCAUUUACAUCUUAUUGAGAGAUUCAGCAAUCGACAUUUCUUUCUUUCUUUCUUUGUUUCAAUCAAGGCUGGCGAGCAUAUUUGGGGAGUUGUCUCUUGCUUAUUACAGAGAUGAAGGAAGAAGAAUUAAAACCCGUGUAGAAAAGAAGACCCUCAAUGUCAAUUCUAUUGACUUGAAUAUUCGCUAUUGCUUUAAAGUAUGCAGUAUAACUUGCAAGUUUAGACAACAGUUCCCCCUCUUUUCAUUUUUCUCAUCUGUUAUUGUGUUUCAAUCACACAUUUCUUAUCCAAUUACUUUGAUUUCCUAGGUUGCUGUAUACGCUGAAUUUCGAAGAGAUUGGGUUGAAGCUUUGAGGUUUUAUGAGGAUGCUUAUCAUAUGCUGCGGGAGGUAUUUUCUUCUUAUAUACGUACUCUUUUCGCUAUCUCUUUUAUCUGUUAUUUUGUUACUCAACCUACUUAGUCAUUGUCAUUUUCUUAUGCUUAUACUUGAUUUCUGCGUUCAGAUGAUUGGAACAUCAACAAGGCUGCCGCCAAUUCAACGGUUGGUUGAGAUUAAAACUAUCGCCGAGUUAUUGCAUUUUAAAAUAUCAACCGUGUUAUUACAUGGUGGAAAGCUCAAAGAAGCAAUUACAUGGUUCCAUCAGCACAAUGCUUCGUACAAGAAGCUGGUCGGUGCACCUGAAGUUGUUUUCCUUCACUGGGAAUGGUUAAGCAGACAAUUUUUGGUAUUUGCUGAGUUACUGGAUACAAGCUCUGUGCCAGCUCAAAGCAUUUCAUCCCUAGUUUUAGCCACUGCGGAUAGACCUUUGACCGAGUUGGAAUUUCAUCCAUCUUAUUACUAUCAGGUCUUCUUUACCUUCUCGCAUGUUGGAGAUUUUAUUUAUUAGUAUUAUACUUAGCCUGAAAAUCACCUUCUCUUGAAAUGCUAUAUACCAUGCAGUCUGUUUUAUUGUUCUCUCACCCUUUCCAUUUAGAGUGUGUGCUAAUAUGACUUUUGCCAACAUUACAUUUAAAUGUACUUACAAUAGAAGGAAAUAAAAUAAAAUAUGAGCCUGAAUUUUCAUAUAUUGACCAUUUCAUUAAUUGCUAUCCCAUGUACUGAUACCAUAACAUGUGUGAUAUUCGCUCAACAACAUCGAAUCAUACACAAUGCUGCCCUCCUAGAUUCUCGAAAAGUUAUAUUAAUGGCUUAAACGUAAAAUUUAAAAUAUUCCUUAGCUGUCUGCAGCUCUCCUUGUGUAGUAUCUUCAGAACUACUCUGCAUCAGUGAACGUUUAGAUUUGUAGAAUGCUUUGAUUUUUUUGACCUACCAUAUUGAUAGUAUGAAUAAUCAUACUCCAAGUGCUUUUUUUUAUCUGCAUACUACUUCAUGUGCCAUUCAGAACUAUCAUUUAGAAGUCCAUGUAAUAUUUUUCCUUAACAAAUUAUACUUGUUAAUGAGCUAAAUCAUAACAAUUAGUCUUAAAACAGUUAGCUGCACAUUACUUGAAGGAGAAAAGAUCAUCAUUGGAAAUUGCUUUGUCGAUGUCAGAAUCCGCGUCUGAGCUUGACAGCAGUGCUGAUUCUGUAGCACCUUCGGUGUAUAUUGGUCAAUUUGGUCGAUUACUUGAGCAAGGGGAUACUGUUACUAUGCUGCCGUAUGUCAUAACAUUUGAAUGUGUUGAACAUUACUGUCAAUUGUAUCAUUUCUUUUAUUUACAAAUCAAUGCCUUUUACUUUCAUCUCAUUUUGCAGUCUUACAGAUGAAGAUUACACCCGCUAUGUUAUUGCAGAAGGGAAAAGGUUUCAAGAUACCUAUGAAAUUCUUGCUCUGCUAAAAAAAUCUUGUGAAUCAUAUGGUAAUCAUAAAGCUCGAAGGAUGGGCUCUUUUUGUGGAUUCCAGAUGGCUGUUGAGUAUUUUGCUUUGGGUGAUUUCAAUAAUGCGAAACAACUUUUUGAUGGUGUUGCAAAUCAAUAUAGGCAAGAGGGGUGGGUUACCUUAUUGUGGGAGGUCUUGGGUUACCUAAGAGAAUGCUCAAGGAAACAAGGCAUAGUUAGAGAUUUUGUAGAAUGCUCGUUGGAGAUGGCUGCCUUGCCAGUGUCAUCUGGUACAGAUGCGCAGCCUUUUAGUUUUAAAGAAUGUGGUCCAGCUGGGCCCCCUACUCUCUCACAGAGAGAAAUUAUACACAAAGAAGUUUUUGAGCUUGUCAGCAGGGAAGUAGGGCUGGUGUCAGUUGAAGACAAUAACUGUAUCAAAAUAAGUAGAGAUAAUCCUCUCCAUCUUGAGGUUGAUCUUGUUAGUCCCCUUAGAUUAGUAAUUCUUGCUUCAGUCACUUUUCAUGAACAAAUAAUCAAGCCCGGUGUAUCCACCUUGAUUACGGUGUCACUUCUAUCACAAUUACCCCUUACUGUCGAGAUCAAUCAAUUAGAAAUCCAGUUCAAUCAAUCUGAGUGCAAUUUUGUCAUCAUAAAUGCUCAGAGACCUUUAUUAGCCGCAACGAAUGAUGGUCUACAGGUUCAUCGAGCAGAGAGUACACCUUUGAUACUUAUUACUAACAGAUGGCUACGCUUGACGUAUGAAAUUAAAUCCGGUAAGUAAGGUGUUCGUUUCUGCACCGUCUCGUUUUAUUUUAUUUUUUUGUGGAAUAAUUCUUUAGGUACAGUUUGACACACGCAGAGUUCCUUAUAUCAACAAAAAUUGUUUAACCUGGCAAGUCUUAAAUUUACUGAUUGCAUAAGCUGAUUCAUGCCAGUCAGAUCUAGUUCUGUUGGGGUUUACACUCAAAAAGUCUGAUAAGCCCUCGAAAUCAAAAUUUCAUGAUAUGAUGUGUUCUCCAGCUCUGAUACUCAGUUGGCAAUAAAUAAUAGCAAUUAGAAUCUUGGGUUGGUGGCUGCCAGGUUUAUAUUUUCUAUUAUCAGGUCGUUUUCAUGUCAUGCAAGCAAAUGCUUUUAACCAGGAUUCACGAGUCCUAAACCUGCUUCUUCCAGAAAUUUGACCGUUGAAUUGGCACACCUAUUUGCCAAGUUGACCUAAGAUCCUGGUGUUAAGGCAAAGCUCGAUAUUCAAAUGUUGAGUCAUUCCUGGCAUGCACUGGAAUUUCCAGUGCUAGUAGUACUGCAGUAAUUCUGUUUUUUUUUUUCCAUCAUGUAUCACUUUAUUUUGUCUAAGAUAACUUUUGAAUUUAUCCAGAACAAAGUGGAAAGCUUGAAUGCAUCUCUGUAAUUGCAAAAAUGGGGCCACACUUCACAAUCUGUUGCAGAGCUGAAAGUCCUGCUUCAAUGGAGGAUUUACCUCUUUGGAAAUUUGAAGACCGUGUGGAGACUUUUCCAACCAAGGAUCCUGCUCUUGCAUUCUCUGGUCAAAAGGCUACCCAUGUUGAAGAACCUGACCCACAAGUAGAUGUUGAUUUAGGUGCCUCUGGCCCUGCAUUGGUUGGUGAGAGCUUCAUGAUACCUGUUACUGUGGCAUCGAGAGGCCAUGACAUCUACUCUGGUGAGUUGAAGAUCAAUCUGGUGGACGUAAAAGGAGGUGGCUUGUUCAGUCCAAGGGAAACUGAGGCAUCCUCAAUGGAAAGUCAUCACGUUGAACUUCUUGGCAUUGUUGGGCCAGAAGAGGAAGAGUUGGGUCCCGGCGAAAUUGAGAAAAUUCAGCAAUCUUUUGGAUUGGUUUCUAUUCCAUUCCUAAAAAGUGGAGAGUCAUGGUCCUGCAAGCUAGAAAUCAAGUGGCAUAGACCCAAACCAGUUAUGCUUUUCGUGUCUUUGGGUUAUUCACCACUUAACAAUGAAUCAACCGCACAGAAGGUCCAUGUCCACAAGAGCUUGCAAAUUGAAGGAAUGGCUGCCAUUGCCGUAGGCCAUCGCUUUAUGCUUCCUUUCCGCCGGGAUCCAUUGUUGCUCUCAAGGAUCAAGCCAGUCUCUGAUUCUGAGCAGUUAGCAUCACUUCCCCUGAAUGAAACAAGUCUGCUUAUUGUCUCUGCCAAGAACUGCACUGAGGUCUCAUUGCAGUUACAAUCAGUGGCUAUUGACAAUGAGGAUGGCGACAGUGAAAGGGUAUGUUCUGUGCAACAUGGAGGCGAAAAUCUUUCAGGCCCUUCCCUUCUCAUGCCAGGUGAAGAGUUCAAGAAGGUAUUCACAAUUGUUCCCAAAGUUGAAUCUUCGAAGCUCGGGCUGGGAACAGUGUGUCUGAGAUGGAGGAGGGACUGUGGGAUUGAUGACCAUUCUGGUUCUUGCGAAACAGAAGCUUGGGUUGUGACUAAACAUAAACUACCUGAUGUUGAAGUGGAGUUAUCACCUUUAGUUGUGAGCUUGGAAUGUCCUCCUUAUGCUGUCCUUGGAGAACCCUUCACAUACACGAUUAAAAUUUGGAAUCAGACUAAGUUGCUUCAAGAGGUCAAGUUCUGUGUGGCAGAUGCACAAAGUUUUGUGUUGUCUGGGGUUCACAAUGACACAGUGUUUGUUCUUCCAAAAUCCAAGCACAUCCUCUGUUACAAAGUUGUGCCACUUGGUUCAGGUUUGCUGCAGCUACCCAAAGUUACUGUGAUCUCGGUUAGGUAUUCAGCCGAGUUUCAAGCAUCUAAUACUGCAUCUACUGUGUUUGUUUUUCCUUCGAAGCCUGAUUUUAAGGUGGCGGCGGAUGUUGGAAAGAGAGAGAUGGAAUCUAUUGCAAGUGAAUAAAUACUGUCCUUGUAUUAUAUACAUUUUUUUUAAAAUAAAAAAUUAUUAAUGAUUUACUUUUUGCUAUUAUUAAUAUCGGCUUUGAAUUGGUGUGGCUGGUUUAUUGCUGCUGGCUGGUGUGAAUGUAUGGGGUAGGGGAUAUGUUGGUGACUAAAGCAACGAUGUACUGGGGAGGAGAUUCAUUCAUUCAGAAAGUCUGAGAUCGGUCUGAGUCGUCUGACACUGAAGCUAUCCAACCAAAUAGACACACUCACUGAUCCAUUUCAGGUUGGAUCUGGAUCUGGAUCUGGGUUGUAUUGUAUAGUUGCUUGCAUUUAAUUGAGGAAAUGGUAGUGCAUCUCGGUUCUCGUCGAUUUUGGGUUGGUUUGGUUUGUCAGGAUGAGGUUAAUUUAAUGAGAAUUAUUUAUACUAUGGUUAUAUGGAUUUGUUAUUUGUAUCAGCAAAUAAUAGACAAAUCAUCUUGUUGUAAAAGUACAAUGGUGGAAACAAAGUGCUGUCAACGUGGAUGACUGGAGUAGAUUUCUUAGGGUAGGUUUAUAGGUUGUGCCUCAGUAGAUUUAAUCUAAAUUAUCCCGGUAAAUUAUAAUAUACAUGAAAUAAACCAAAGCAAAGGUAGAGAUGACACCGAAAUCAAAUCAAUGUAUUCCUAUUCUCCUUUCAAUCGCCCAGCCCGCCCGGGGGGAGGGGGGGGGGGGGGGGGCGGGUUUGUUGUUGUGUGGAAGAAUUAAAAAAAAAAAAAUCAUUGUAUUCUGAUAUAUUUGUCUUUGGGAAACCAAUACAAUUCCAUCACAAUUUUAACGUGGACCGAUCUUUUUAAAUGAGCAAACGAUCAACGCACUUCCUAUCCUAACCAUUUCUCGUGAUUUAUUUAUUUAUAUAUUUAGUUCUACUUCAACAUAAAAUGGCUAAUUUCUUAUUAUUAUUAUUAUUAUUAUUUAUUGUAUUAAAAUUAAAUAGAAGUGAAGAAAUGGAACUUAAUCGCUUUUUAUCCAAAACAAAAGGAAAAAUAAAUAAAUAAAUAAAGCUUUCAGACUUCCUUCAGUUCGAAACUUUGAUUCCAAAAGAGAGAGAAAAAUAAAUAAUAGAAUAUUGUAUUAUAAAAGUAGAUUUGAGGAAAGGUCUUCAGUCUUCACUACUCCCGUCCCCCGUCAAAUUAAAAUUUAGAAAGAGAGGAGCGCCUCGAGUGUGUGUGACUGUGAGAGAGAGAAGUACGAAGACCCGACCGUCCAGCGUGUCCGGCUUCCAGCCGCGUGUCCCGGUCGCCUCCUUGCCUGCCAAGCGAAAAGUGAACGUGAACGGUUCUCUUCUCUACUUCUACUCUAUUUGUUUAGACAUUAGGAGGAUCCUGUUAAACUCAAUACUACUUACUCAUCAUGCGUACUACUCCAUAACUCAUUUUCAUUCUUUUGUGUUUCUAUUGGAAAGAGAGAGGGAGUACUUCCUUUCCCGUUACAUGAGAGACGUAUCAUUUAUGCUUUCAGGUUGCUUUUUUAGGGUUUUAUACUUGGUGCGCGAUCAGUCUAAAAAUGCUCCACUGCUCUUUCAACUAACAAAUCCAACUUUCAGCCUUCGGCAGCAAGUUUCUGCUUUGUUUUGUUAUUUUUUUUUUCACUUUCUCUUCUUUCCUCUUUUGUUUGCUGAAUGGUUACCUGAUCAUCUUUUUUUUUUUUUUUUCAGAGGAGUAAGAACAACUAAGAAGGAUUAGAAAUGUUGUCAGACGCAGACGUUGAUAACAAGAUUCCAACUCAAGGUUAAUUUCAUUUCUUACUUAUCUACUUUCUAAGUAUCGCGUCUGGGGCUUAAGCUUAAGCUUAACUUAUGAUCUCAAUAUAAUUAAGAGGAAUUAUUUAAUGCGCAAUUUUGUUUCUUUUCUAUAGACUAUAAUCAUUAUCACACUGUACUUUAGGAUUACGGUAUGCAGAUGCUUCUGACUCUGAGUAUUAUAUUUUGCUUACCAAGGAUAAGAAACCGAUAUGCCGGACACGGUGCCUAAACCCUCCUGAACAUUUGUAUGCUUACUUCUUCUUUUUCUAAAUAUUAUUUACCUGUGCUUUUUCUUGGUCUGUUUAUGUUUCCUCCCCCAUUGUAAUAUUGUUUUAUUUUAUUUUUCCUUUGAUUGCGAUUAGAUAUAUACAUAACACGAAUCUAUGAACUGGACUUAUUUAUUAUUGACAGGCCGCACCACUGGAAUGUAAAUGAUAUUGUUCCAACAAGUAAAAUAAUCCUUGAUGGUAUGUCUCAUUGUUUCCUGAGCCCUGCGCCUGAGUGCUCUCGUGAUCACAAUGAGUGGAGGAGAUUUUUGAUUUAUCUGCAAGGCCGGGACAUGGUAAAGUGCUAUUGCUUCCUUUUUUCUUUUGGUUGUACUGAUCUUAUAACCUUUAUCUAUUUCUCCAGCAUACUAGUUGUCUUCUUAGUUCUCAAGUCUAAGCUUGUGCUGCUGCACUCUUUGCAUUACAUUCUUCUGCGUUACUACCAUUUAUUUAUUUUCCAAUACAAUUUCUUUUUUUAGCUUUUUUGACUGGCAGUAUUUUGAAGCAGAAGGAUUUUUCUCUUCAAAACAAAGUUUUUCUUCUUGUUGGUGACUGAUAGAAGCAGAUAUCCAUAUGCUUUAUCUUUUUUUGCUUUGUUCCAUGGAGAAUAUAUAUUGUUUGAGUUAUGAAAUUGUAUAUUGCAAAGGUUGCGAUUGCGAAAUUUAAGUUCUGGGAAUUCUACAUACUACCUCCCGAUCAAACCUCAAAUUUUACCAAUAUUAGAGUUGCAUAUAAGAUGGAGAAAACUCGGAAUGCCUCUAAUGGUCGAGGACAUGGUGAAUCAGGUGACUGUUUAUUUUAUUAACAUUUGAUUUUGAAUUGCAGCUCAUGUCUUUUUAUGUUGCUUUUAGGGUCAGUUGUUGUUAUCAAAUUAUUUGUUAGAUUGCUAGAUAAGUCUAUGUUCUGAGUUUGGAGGUGUUUUUAUGUACUUCCUGGCUUCCUGCUUAGUGAUUGCUAUGCCAAUACCACCUCAUAAUAUGCUGAUAUGUGUUUCAAAAUUGUGGAUACAGGUCGGUCAUGCCAAGUUGUACGACCAACUGCAACAAAAGCUAACAUUAAUGAUAGUCCAACUUUACCUGUUAACAUCGUCAAAGAGACUGUUAGCAGAGGAAAUGCAUGCAUACAGGCAAGAGUUUCAGAUACUAGUGAAGAUAAUUUCUCUCCUGUUCUCAAGUUCUCACCUGUGGUUGGAGAUCGUCUCUCUUCUGAGUCAACAAUUGAAACUUGUAGUAGACCUGAGCCCCGUGCUGUGAAACAGGCUGGACCCUUGGAAAAAAACUUUGUUAGAGCGGACCCAAGUUAUCUUCAAACUCUUGGUCAGGCACAUUCUGGAUGGAUUUUUGGUGCAAUAGCUGAGCUUGUUGAUAAUUCAAGGGAUGCUAAAGCAACUAAGUAGGUCAAUUGCUCACAUGUCUACUCUCGUAUUUGUUAGUUAAGUUUUUCUAUUUAUACUAAAUUCACCUAGGUCUUUUUCCUUUUUUUUUUUCGAUUGAAUUAUAUGUAUAAUGGCUUUAUUUUAUUUUAUUUUUCCUCAUUAGAUAGGCUGCUUCUUUCCAUCUAUUUUGGCAGACUUGAGAUUUCUAUUGAGAGCAUCUACUUCAAGAAAGCUGGCAAAGAUAUUCCUAUGCUGUCAAUUAUUGACGACGGCCACGGGAUGACUCAUCAAGAUGUUGUGAGAAUGACAUACUUUGGGCACAAGCAACCUGAUGCUGAUGAUCCAAAUCGUAUCGGAAGAUUUGGUGUUGGAUUUAAGGUUCGCUUGCUUAAUAUUCCAUCUCAGAUUGCCAUUCAAAUUUUGCUCGAUGUUACAUCAUAACAUCUGAUAUUCUUUGUAUUUCAGUUUCAGCUUUGUGGAGGCCCCUCGGCCCAGUUUGUUGCAUUUAUUGGAUGGACUUUGGAGUGCUUUAUUUUCUGUUAAUUGUUGCAAAGUCUAUGGACAAGGGCUUUCCACUGGUUAAAGUACCCAAUACGGGGUUGGUACUUUUACCUGUUGUUGAGUGUUUCUGACAAUUAGUUAGUCUUUUAAUGCAUGGUUCAAUGCCUAUAAUUGGGUGUCAAGAUAAAAGAUGGAAUUCAUUUUUGUUUACCUCAUUUAAUAUUGGUUAAUAGUAUAGGACGAUGAGAGAGAAAAUUCAGGUAUAUACUACCUUUUGCAUUUGAGUUUGCCAGAAUGGAAUUAGAAGUUAAAAAAUACACUAGCUUUCAUGAGUUAUAGUUGAUUUCCUUCAUAUGUCUAGUCAAAAACUUGGAGUGUUGCUCUCACCUUUCCUUGAGGUCUUGCUUAAUGAAAUGUGGACCAAAAGUCUUCAUUGAAAAACAACCCUCUGUGCCCAUCUUUUGACCUCUUCUUUUCAAAUGCAUAAAUAAAUACCAGGCUCUUCUGACAUAACUUGGAUAUUUGCAUGAUGCCUAACGGUUAUCUGGAUAUUUCCUUUUUAGACUGGAGCAAUGAGGCUUGGCAAGGAUGCUCUUGUUCUUACACAGACUGCUGAUUCCAGAUCAAUAGCUUUUCUUUCGCAAUCUUUAAAUCAAGGGAAAGAUGUAUGGAAAUCAUCACCAGAUAUCUGCUUGGUUUUCAUUCAUAUAUUUCUCUUUGCUUGGUUUAUGGCUAUGAACUUGUCUGCUUUAUAAUAGCUUAACUGAAGCUUUUGCUGUUGCAGAAUCUUGAGAUUCCCAUUGUAAGCUACUACAGGAAAGGACAGUUUAUGGAACUUGAUACAGUUGUCCAAUCUGAAGCUACUGCAAAGUACAAUUUGAAAUCUAUCAAAGAAUUUUCACCAUUUAACAAGUAUUUGAUUGGUGAAAAAGCUGGUUUGUUCCAGGAUAAAUGCACUGGAACUCAGAUAUAUAUUUGGAAUUUAGAUCAGUGGGGUUCGAAUUAUUGUCUGGAGUGGGAUAAUGGAUUGAAUGGUGGUAGCUCUUUUCACCAAGGUGACAUACUCAUCCGUUCUAGGAGGAUUAGAUCUCGUCCUGGUCAGAUUAGUCAAAAGGUUGACACCCUCUUACUAAUUUUACAGUUUUUUUAAAAAAAAUUUGUAGCUUAUAUUUUCUUUUCUUUGGUCUAAGGUGCCAUUGGACUAUUCACUUCGAUCUUAUCUAGAAGUCAUCUUCUUAGUUCCACGAAUGAAGAUAUAUGUUCAAGGUUCCUUGGUAAUGCCAUGCCAUCGAGAUCUCUCUGUGUAGCUAGGUAUUAUUCUGCAGUAUCUGCUUGCCUAAUCAAUUUCUUUUGCAAACUUUUCAACUUUAACAGGUUAGAAGUCGACCAUUGGCUAAGUCUCUUAAUAAGACUUGUGUAGAAACUGGUACUAUCAUGGGAAAAUCUGCCCAUUUAACUCUGGGUCGCUGUCAAUUAGAGUGGGAGCAGAUGAAUUGUGGGAUUUUCUUGUAUUGGCAUGGUCGUUUAAUUGAGGUGAGUUUUCAAUUCGUGAUAUGAUAUCACCCCUAAAGUGUUUGCUACCACCUCAUACCAUUUGACUUCAAAGUUUUUUCCUAUUUUUGUAAAUCCUCUUUAGUCACAUUGUGGUUGUUCAUUUAUGUAUUUUGUUCUGAAUACGAUAUGUUUGGAAAUAACCAUUCAUGCUGACUAGUUCGGUUUUUUUUUCUCAUUUCUUAUUUUUUUUAAACAGUAAGUCUGGUUUUCGAAUCUUGAGUAUUAAAUAAUUAAUCAACUGCUGCAGGAGUUCCUUAUUGCAAAUGAACCAUCUUAAAUCUUAUCUUUAUUUGAAUCGAAUUUCUGUUUAUGAACAUUAGCCUUUGUUCUUAAACAUUCUUUUGUU
RNAcentral lists this long non-coding RNA (22564 nucleotides) under Citrus x clementina. RNAcentral describes it as "Citrus clementina (C. clementina) long non-coding RNA (CCLE_LNC001245)". Lineage: Eukaryota; Viridiplantae; Streptophyta; Magnoliopsida; Sapindales; Rutaceae. The record is from RNAcentral.